Trichoplusia ni (cabbage looper) is the source of this 4496-nucleotide long non-coding RNA. RefSeq lists it as uncharacterized. The record is from RefSeq and is a predicted model, not a curated record. NCBI's taxonomy places the organism in Eukaryota, Metazoa, Arthropoda, Insecta, Lepidoptera, Noctuidae. The transcript is spliced from 2 exons.
CCAAAAUCACUUUUUUUUAGGAUUUAUUACUAUUUGAAAAUUUUUUGGACGAAUUUUUGGGUUACACUCUUUAAGUAGGAAUAUCUUGGAAAGGGUUAAGUAAGGACGGUAGGUCUCAUAGUGAUAUCUUUCGGAAUAACCCUAGACUACCUCCCCUUAACGGCUCCGCCACUAAUUUCCAGUCACCCUAUAUAUUAUUUAUAUUAUAUUGUAGGACGAUAUUGUUAGGCGAUUUCUUGAGGUUGUUAUUGUUGCGCCAGCUUUGGAAAAGUGCCUUUCGCAAGGUACAGAGGUACCUACUAUAUUUAAAUAAAUGUGUGUUGUGGGGUGUGGGUGUUUGUUCCUAUGAAGCUGGGAAUAUGGGCUUUAAAUCUUCCCAUACCUCCAGUGAGUUAGAUUUUAAAGCGCGCUUAUUUGCCAAAUAAAUUGAUACUUCAUCGGCGUUCGAGAAACGUUUUCGCUUCUGGCCAACUGCGACUUGCGUCUUGGAAAAGAAGAUUUUUGAACCGUAGAUCUAACAUUGUUGCCUACGCUGCAAGUGUAUUAAAUUCAAUGAAACCAAAUCUUUUCUUGCCUUCAGCUAUAAGUUUCAUUUGCAACUGUGUCACACAUUCUAUUGAAGAUGUUAAGUUAGUUAGCUGCGAUGUGGGACAGUUUAUCAUGGGUGUGAUUUUAGAUAAGGUUACAUAAUUUUGGCCUGAUGAGAGUCAUCAGUGAGUCAGAGUGUAACAUAUUCGAAAGGAUUUAACAAUAAUAUAUUCCAUAUUUCCUGUCCAUUCACUAAUUCAGGACCGUCUGUAGCAUCGAGUUAAAGUUGUGAAACAAUUUUAGACAUUUCUGAAAACCAAUCAACAAUGAAGUAUAAUGAAUUUCAACGCGUCUUAACAUCAACAAUAUUUUUUUGUGGUUCCUUCAGAUACUCCACUAUCAAUCUGAUUUUUUCUUAAUUUGUCUGAUUGUAUAAAUAGUCGAAGUAUUUUUUAACGAUGAAUCCACAAUCAAAUUGAUUGUAUGUGGAAAACACGGCAAAUGUUUUGCGCCCCAAGAGAUUUUUUGAACCAUUGCGAUAUUCGAACUGGUAAGAAGUGUUUUCUCUAAAAAAUGUACCGCAACGCUCAAAAAACUUUUUAUACAUAAUCAUUGUUGAUGGCGGGCCAAGAAAUAAAAAAAUAUUUUCACUUCUUGUUAACUGUUUGUGUUUGUGAAGAAUUCUUCCAGGCCGAUUUUAUUUCGUAUAAAAUUUCCUUUAACAUCAUUUUAUGUUCUUGUGUGUCGUUGUAUAUAAAGGUUUCAUUCUCCAACUCAAACUCUCUCCUCGCCCGUUCAAAUCUUGACGGUUCUUCCGGUUUUAAUGAUUGUUGAAAUACCCAAACAUUUGCGAUGUGAAACCAAUUACGGAUUUUUCGUUGUAUUGGUUGGUGCACAUAAGGUUAAUCCCUUGAUUUGAUUUAGCAAACACUUCUGAUUCUGUGAAAGCACCUCUCUCACAUAAAAGUACAAUAAUAUCUGUAUUUCUACUAUUAACCAACUGAUUUUCUCCGUGUUCAUUGUUGUUGGUAUCGUUUUCCCAUCCAUCCAAAAGUUUAUUUUUUUUGCCUGGAAUUUGAUGUCCGGACAUUCCUUCCUGACCGUCAUUAGAUUGAACAGUUGUGCCCACCAAUCCGUCGUGUUAUUUUUGUAUUGAAACGCCUUCAAGUCGAAAUAUUGUAUCUGCCCCCUCGGCACAAUUAUGUUUGUGUUUUCCAUUGAUUUUGGCUGACCAAUCCACAAUAAUGGUCGGCGCACUGAAAAGUUUCAAUAUGUUCCGGGCCGAGAAUGUCCUAUAGUAUUUGACGACCAUUGUCGGAAUAAAGAAACUCGCGUACACAAGCCAGACAGUCAACUGAUUUGUUCUUGUAGGCUCUUCGUCAAAUAAUUCUCCCCAAUCUAGAGUUAAUCCCCCCACUCUUUAUUACUAAUGUAGUACACUCAGCGGCACGGAAUGUGGCCCAAGUUUAAUUUAAGGGUUUUUUUUCCAAAUUUUCAGUUUUAGAAAACAAUACCCAUAACACAAAUUUAAGAAAAAAGUUUAACCACCCUAGCCCCGAUGGCGGCUCGCAUGUGAUCGGGCAUGCUGUGUAUUAUGUUUUUUUAUGUCCGUUUGCGAUACUUCUUGUCCCAGACAUGUUCAAUGGGGUUCAGGUCAGGACUUCUAGCAGGCCACUGCAUUUUUUGUAUACCGACCUCCGAAAGGUAAUCGGAAAAGCAAUGCGCUGUGUAUGGUAGAGCGUUAUCCUGCAUUAACAGAAAAUCUGUAUCACCAAUGAACCCCAUGUAAGGUAAAACGUGGUCUUGAAGGAUGUGUUUGAUGUAUCGCUCUGCUGUUAAUCGGUUUUCAAUGAUGACUAACUCUGUACGGUCCUCUGAACUUACUCCACCCCCAACCAUAACAGACCCGCCAUGGAAACUUACCGUUUGUCUGGUAGUGAUUGGCAGAAGUCGCUCUCCACGUAUUCUCCACACACGUUUUCGGCCAUUUGAAGCUCUUAAUCUUACUCUGCGCUCAUCAGUCCACAACACUUUGCUCUACUGCUCGUGAUCCCAAUUCACGUGUUCCUGUGCAAACCGCAAUCGGCAUACUCGAUGUUGUCAGAGCAAUUCUGGCCCUCGUUCUGGUCUUCUAGCGCGUAAAUUACGUUCCUCCAUCCUCCUUCUUACUGUUUGUUCACUCACGUUAAUCCCUCUUGCUGUUUGUAGGCGCUGCCGUAUCUCAACCGCGAUGAGAAACAGAUUUCUUAGGAUUUCUAAGCCAAUAAAUCGGUCACCUCGAACUGAUGUGCAUCUGAUUCCACCACUUCCAUUAAGUAGGAUUGACAAUUCUUUUCUAUGAAAACAAUAAAAAAACAAUAUCUGCAGCCAAUAUGUGACUACUAAAAUUUAACCACCAGUGUUCUUUGCGUGCCAAACUCGAUUCGAUUAUUUCAUCAUAUGAGGUCGCCGGAUCUUACGAGCCUAAUUAUGAGUUAUCAAAUAAAAUCAAAUCUCUGUAUACCAACAUUCGUUAAAAUAGAUCUUUAAAUCUUUAACAGCUCAAUUAUCAAUCAAAAUCGCUACCCUCAUUAUCACUAACUUGUCUUGUUUUGGGGGGGUGCAUGCGGCAAGUUUUUAUGGCAGGAAUAAUAUGUUCUGUUCGUACGUGCAUGGAGUUCAGAUCUUUUCAGAUUCACCAAGGACACCCCCUUCUCGCUGGUGUUGAAGAGAAAGAAGAAUUAUAAAUUAAUAAAACAGAAAAAGCACACUAUAAAACACAAAAGUUAAUCGUCCAUUAAACAAGAUAUGAAAAGGCAGGAAUCCAAUUGAUGUCUAUGACUAAACGCAUUAUUUCAAUGACAGAUGAAAGCUGUCAUUUAAGGCUAACAGUUUAAUAUUUGAAACUUUGAAACCGCGUUUGGAUAUAAAAAAUUCUUCAUUUUAUUUCUAAUCCAUCAGGCUACCAGCUAAUUUAUACAAAUCAAAGAAAAUUACAAUGAGGUUCAAUGAUUUCGAAGCAUUUACAUAAGUUACACAAGAUUAAAUAAGUCUAAGGUAUAAGGGAGCAGGAUGGGUCGAUGACAUAAUAAAGGUCUCGGGUCGAGUCUGGAUGAGGCCUAUGCCCAGCAGUGGGAGGAUAAAGGCUGUUUAUGAUGAUGAUGAUCAUGAUGAAGGUGUCGCAAUCGAGAAGAUAAGCCAAGAUGUUUCAAUUUAAGGCACCGACGAGAUUGAAGCGAAAACUACGUUAAAACUGAAGGGUGCGCAGCUGACAGAUCCGACGUCCAGUUUUACGCUGUACUUUGGAUACUUCCUGGUCCCUGGGUGAUCCAGGAUCGGUGCCUGCAGUCUCGAUGGCGCCGGUGGGUGAACGCACAAUCUAAUUGAUAUAGACCUCACCCAUCGUCUCAAUCUAACGUCUGGUUUUAUUAGGACGAAGAAUCACUACACAUUCUACCUUCAGUAGUCCAACGGUUCUUCAUGCUGAAGUCUUUCCUAGCAGCAAGGAAAGUUUGAUGCCGAUUCUGGGUCAGGAAUUCCGAGAUAGUGAUGCCGGUACCUUGCUUCUUGGCUUCCCACACUAGCUGAAGGUCGCUUACUUUAAAGAAUCGCACCAGAAUUGGCAGAAUAUUCUGCCCUGAAGCCUAGCCGGUGUCAAAUGUGCAAGGAAUACAAUGGAGUAGUACCACUUUCUUUCGCAUAAAGGUGUCAUGACGGUAAAACCAACUCCAAGCAACUGAAUCUUGGAUUUUAAUCAAGGAUUUUAAUUUUGAAAGAGCCUGCCAGACAAACUUCUUAAAAUUGCCAAACUUGCUGCUUAUUGAAGAAAAUAUGCUGACAGCCGCUAAGCGAUUUCCCGUACCCGACGCCUCGGUCAGCCUCUCUUCGUAUUUAGCCAAGCGUGAAUUAUAUAUCUGCUCCAAAUCUUGAAGGCUGUUUGCAAAUUUGCUGUCUAUGUUAAUUUUUCACUGCUUUGUAAUAAAUCAUCA